AUGGGUAUGGACUUAUCUAGCAACUUCCUUUCACAAGAGAUCCCAAAAGGGCUCACAUCACUUGUUGGACUCAGGUACCUCAACUUGUCAAGAAACCAUCUCUCAGGUGGUAUUCCCAGAGACAUUGGCAAUCUGGCAUUGCUAGAAUCCUUGGACCUUUCGGGAAACCAACUAUCCGGUGAAAUUCCUCCAAGCCUUGCAGAUUUGAAGGCCCUCGGCGCCCUGAACCUCUCAAGCAAUGGUUUAUCGAGGAGGAUACCUACAGGCAGCCAGCUGCAGGCACCCCCAGAUCCUUCAAUAUACAGCAAUAAUCCAGGGUUGUGCGGUUUUCCAUUGCAGGACUGUGUAAACCCGUUUGCAUCAAACCAAAAUCAAAUGAGCCAGGGCAAAGAUAUGGAGACACUCUGGUUGUACUGCUUUGUGGUAGCAGGAGUCAUCUUUGGGUUUUGGCUAUACUGGGGCAUGCUCUUUUGCAACGAGACAUGGAGGUGUGUGUUCUAUCAAUAUGUUGACAACAUGCAAGACAAGGUAAUUACCAAGAAAAUAGCUGCAUAUCGCACCUCCAAGCUAAGGCAUAAAUGA
RNAcentral lists this ribosomal RNA (582 nucleotides) under Triticum aestivum (bread wheat). Its description in RNAcentral is "partial small subunit ribosomal RNA". The record is from RNAcentral. Lineage: Eukaryota; Viridiplantae; Streptophyta; Magnoliopsida; Poales; Poaceae.